UACGGAGGAUCCGAGCGUUAUCCGGAUUUAUUGGGUUUAAAGGGAGCGUAGGUGGAUUGUUAAGUCAGUUGUGAAAGUUUGCGGCUCAACCGUAAAAUUGCAGUUGAAACUGGCAGUCUUGAGUACAGUAGAGGUGGGCGGAAUUCGUGGUGUAGCGGUGAAAUGCUUAGAUAUCACGAAGAACUCCGAUUGCAAAGGCAGCUCACUAGACUGCAACUGACACUGAUGCUCGAAAGUGUGGGUAUCAAACAGG
This 253-nucleotide ribosomal RNA is filed under the name uncultured bacterium. Its description in RNAcentral is "partial 16S ribosomal RNA". It matches the Rfam family "Bacterial small subunit ribosomal RNA", at positions 524 to 776 of the family's 1533-position model. The record is from RNAcentral.